UCCACAUUUUUAUGAACGUUGUGUCUAAUUUGCAGGUAAUAUGAUAAAACUGGAAUACCAGUUGCUUUUUUGCUUUUAUGAAAUUAGAUAAUCGGAGAUCGAAUUGGAAUUAUCAAGCUGUCUAAAUUCAUCCCCGCAUCUGACUUAAUUCAUAAUUCAUUGAAAUUAAAAAUCAAAACUUCGGAUUCCUAUAAUAAUAACAGUAUCUGGAGAAACUAAAGCCGGAAAAAAUAGAAAACUUUGAAAUUGGCAGUGCCAACAUCAACUACCUAUGAUAUCUAACUUCAGAUUGAUCUGAGAACAAAUCCUACAAUAAAAUUCACAGAAAAAAAUACUAAGAACAGAAGACAAUAUAUCACCAAUCGAUUGAAAACUAGCAGAAAAGUAAUAUUUGCAAUUAAAGAUGCGAAGGGACUUCUUG
RNAcentral lists this unclassified non-coding RNA (421 nucleotides) under Hevea brasiliensis (rubber tree). The record is from RNAcentral. Lineage: Eukaryota; Viridiplantae; Streptophyta; Magnoliopsida; Malpighiales; Euphorbiaceae.